UGGAAAAAGCUAGUGAAGAUUUUAACAAUGUAUCUGAUAUACGAUAGAGCACGACAGGUCAAAUUCCAAAAUAUUCAACAUGUACACAAUUUUACUGGAAGAAUCACAUAAUAUAAUUCUUUCAACUUGAUUGACAUGAUAAUGGUUACAAAAACUGAACCGGACUGGCCAGUUUGAUUGGAUAACCGAUGAAUCGGACCUCUGGCCGCUUUGGUUUUUUCUCGGGACUGUAAUUGUGUUCGCCUGUUCGGACUAGAUAGAAACCGUUGAACCAGCCAUUUUCUCAAAAAUUGUAUCCCUGUCCAAACCGAGUUCACAAAUUGUAACUAAAAUGCAUUUAAAACGGGAUUCAAGCCAAUGUCUGUCGAGACACUGGGCCGGGUCCGCCUUGGUUGGCCUGGGCCGGGCCAGUGGCUGUUCAACGCUCGGCGUGUGAGACGGAGUGGAACCCUAGGGCGCGUUGGACUCCGGUGAGGCUUCUUCCUCCGCGAGUCCGGCGGAAGGAAGGAUUCCUAGGGCACAUUGGAUUCCGGUGAACCCUAGGAAUUGAUCUAUAAAUCCCUCUCCCCUUCCCUUUGAGCACCUCUGUGAUGAGUUCCAAUCAACCAUCGCCGGAUUCUUUCCCUCCUUGCGGCGUCUCAGCCAUCGUGCUCGCUGGGGAGUGCAGCCAAGUACCUCGUCGGAGCUGAGGUGAGCAAUUAUCUAGACAAGAAAGCGAUUGAGCAAGGUAUUGUACAUCUCUAUUCUUAAAACGAGGUGUGGACUGAGUUGAGUCUGUCAUCGAUAGAGAAUUGUAGGAUGUUUAGUACUUGGCUAUGGUUGAAUCGCGAGUGAAAGGAUAAAUAGAUAGACCACCGUCGAUACUGGUCGGAUGAUCAAAUUUUAUAAUUAUACAAGUUUUGUUAUUUGUUAUGAAUUGAGACCACUUAUGUUUAGUGAUAUUGAGGUUGUAAUAAAUUUUCAGGCCUUUCAUUAUCUCUAGGGCAUCGCUUAAAGUUCAUGUGGUUGUGUCGCAUGGCUGACCCAGGUGUUGAGUUCGGGGUGUGACAUUAGGUCAGUAUGACCGUGAAACUUAAAAUAUUUAUGGUAGAACUAUUUCAACUAUAUUAUCAUAUUUUAAUAAUAAUUUAUUUUCAUAAAAAAUAAAACUCUUUGCUUUUUGAUACAAAACCCAAAACAUAAACAUCAUUUUAUUGUUCUACCAUAUUUUACAUAUUAGAUUCAGCUUAAUAGAUUCUACAUGUUUUCUAUAUUAUACAUUUUUAGCAAAUUUAAAAUAAAUUAUUCAUCAUUAUUUUUUAUUUAUAAUGCAAUUAAACAUUAAUAUAAAAUAAUGAUCUAUGUUAUUUAAAGCAUACUUUUUAAAAGACAAUUUGAUCCACGAGGAUUCUUAGAUUGACGUACAUCACUUUGGCCACUAUGAGCAGAGUUGCAAAGGGACUAGGAGCAAGAUCCGCUACAUUGAAAAAUCGAGUCGUAGGCCAAACUUUCGGAGACCAUAACUUGGUCAUAUGACGUCUGAUUGAAAUUAUCUUUUUUUUUUUUUUUAAAUCGGACAGUUUUUUGAGAUCUAUGACAUGAUGCCCUACCCUUUAGGGGGUGGUGCCUCUAGGAAUUGAGCCUAAUUCCAUCGUUUGGGGCCCGAAAUAGGCCGAUCAAACCAAAAAAAAAAUAGAUAAAACUUUGACCGGCUGUAGCUCUCUAUCCGAGAAGAAUUAGACGGAGCGACUGAAGACAGAGUUGAUGUAAAAGUCGAGAUCUACCUCCUUAUAAUUUUUAACUUUUUCUAGAAGAUUUCUACUAGUAAUGUCUAUUUUAGAAAAGAGAGUUCUGCUAUGAUUAGAAAGAGAAAUUUGACCUAAAUUGUGUAAAGGAGGACCUCACAUUAUACAUAGAGGCUAUAUAUCUUUUUUUUUUAAUCAUCAAGGGGACUUAAGCUCUAUUUUUGAAAUUCUUCUAUCUUCUUCUAGUUAUUUUUCGAUAGAUUCGAGUUGAGCGGGUUGAAGAAAAUCUUCCAUUUCUCCAAUUGGAUCACAAUUGAUCACUUAUUAUGCAUAUUUUUCUAAUAUUGUAGCUAUUUUAUUAUUUUUCAAUUAUAACCUAGUCUGACUGAUUGACCCGACGGUCAGACCAAUGAUGCCGUGGCAUGGACCCUUGACUGGGACAGUCACCAGUUUGAUUUUAAUAACUAUGGUGAUGAGUCCAUGACUGUUAACUUGCAUCAAUCACCAAAAUGACAUUGAUGGGCCAGAAGCAUCACCAAAAGAAAUUAGCUGUUCUCAAUAGAGAGGAUUCAAGAGAAUAGCUAAGAGGGAGAAAGUUAACAACAUUAAGUAUUUGUUCUUUGGUUUGGAUUUUUGCACUUUUUAAAAAAAUAGUAUAAAGUAUGUGGCUAUUAAUCAUUAUUUUUGAUUUUUUAUAUCCACAAAUUUUCGUUGAAUAUCGUAGUUAUGGUUUACUUUUUCAAGCAGCGAUAAAAACAAAGGAUAUACUAUUAGAAAUUAAGUCGAUUUUGGAAGAAACUAUUAGUGUUGUUACAAUAUCGAGCCCAAUGGGCAUACAUAGCUCGAAUUUAAAAUCAGAUUGGAUGAAUUUGGGAUCCUGCACACAAACGCAAAAACUUUGAAAAGUAAGAUGUUUGGUGGUAGUCAUAUUGGUAACAUGGAGAGAUGUUAGUUGGUGAUGAAGUCAAUGCAGUUGCUUUCUUGGAGCUUGUUGUGAAGUGGACAGGUAAGGAGGGUUUGCUGCUUGUAUCUGUUUCUGUGACAGCGAAAUAGGCCUUUCACUUGCAAUAGUUGGCAGGUCAACUUUCAAGAAUGAUUGUACCAUGAUAUGAAAUCUGAAGAUAAUCUGCUGUUUUUAUCAUCCAACUUUUAUGUUAUGAUCAAUUGGUUAUCUUGUUUCAUCUGCUUUUAGGUUGCUGGCAUCCUCGGUCUCCAUUGGUUUGAUUUUCAGAAAAGAAUCCUUGCUGGAUUCCUUAAUUUUAAGAAAUUUAUACUUCUCAUUUGCAUGCAUUCUUUCAGGUGCUUGUGUCACUGCUGGCAUAGGUGUGUCUGAGACCGUGCAUGCAUAUUUAUUGCUGUGUGCAAUUACAGCUGCACAUUAACUACCUACAAAUUCUGCAAUCUUUGUAUCAUUUCAUAUCUUUUGAAAAUGAAUCCCGACCAAAUUGAUUUAGAUAGCAUGAGUUCAUUAAGUCUUCCCUUCAAUUUGUGAUUGGUACGAGGGUUUCUCAUUAUGCUUAUUAAAAUUCAUAUGUCAUACUAUAUUUAUAUCAAUUGUAGCAUGCUAAAGCUAAUACUUCUGUUUGAAUUAUCUUUUUUUUUUUUGCUUUGAAGUUUGAAUUAUCUUUGAAGGAAGAAAUAUUGGAUGAAACAGACGUUAUGUUGAUGUCCACAACAAGAUCAAAAUAAUUAUGUUACCACCAAGAAGAUUAUCACCAAGAUCUCCAGGAGCUGCAUAUAUCUCUCAUUUUGCACGAUUAGUGCUAACAGCUUCUCCCUUUUCUCCCUAUCAUCAUACUUCCAUGUCAUGCUCACCUGUUUCUCCAAAUUUUCAAGCUGCUGGUCCAACAGCAACCAUUUCAAAUUCUCCUUGAAAGUUGUCGCCAAGUUCACCAGCUAAUCAUGCAGGUCUAAGCCACAGUUUACCAGCUUCAAAUUGAGUAAGUGGAAUACUCUUCAGCUUUGCUUUGCAGGGGGUCAUUCUUCCUGAAUGUCUGAGCGCAUUGAUUGUUGAUGCUGCUACUUUACUGGAACUUUUUAUACCAUUGAACUAUUCAUUCAGUCAUUUUGAUUACUGUAUUUUUUUCACUGUUUUAGUUGACUGAUAUCUAUGUCAUCAUUCUUUGUCUCUGCUCUAUUUUUUUUUGGUUACUUUUGCCUCUGUUCUCUAUUCUGCAAUUAACCUAAAUUAUUGCUAGUUAUGAUACAUGGGGUGUUUCAGAAAAGGAAUAGAAAUUUUGGUUCUCUUGUGACAAUAUAAGAAACUCAAAAAGGCGUCCGGCCCUCUAUUUGGCAUGUUGCAACUGGAAACGUGCUAGUCUCAUCACAACUACUACUCAUAACCUGUAAAUGUACUCCAGACACGUAUUAGGUGGAUCGUUAUAAACCUUUAAUUUCUCGUUCCUCUUUACAAGCUUCCAAAUUCACCAAUAGAAGAUAGGGUACUGUUUUUUCUUGAAAAAAGGCUACUUUACUGAAUAAAACACAUUGUGUAGUCAGUAUACGGUUAGUGAUGGAAUUAGUUUUCAUGACUUUCUUGAAUGAUGGCUGCACUUGUAUGGCGGCACAAUAACACUGUUACUUGAGAUCAACUUUGAUGAACAGUACCUUACUAUUUUCUUGAGUAGUUCUAUUGGUACCUUUAUCGACAAUGCUUGUUUUUCCACAUGUUUGAUUAACUUUGCUGCAAAUUAGCAGGUCUCAAGAAAUCAUACGAGAAGCUUCAAAAAAAUUGAGAGAGCGAGGAUUGAUUGCCUAUCUUAGCUUGCUAUGUAGUAUGUAUAUUGUUUAUUGCUUUUGUAUAUAGCAUGUGCUGAAAUAUCAGUCCAAUUUAAUGUUUUCAUCAUUCUAAAUGUUUCAUGACUAUUUAUGAUAAUUUUACUUUAUUGAAAAAUGGAAGGAAGGAAAACAUAGGUUGCAAAUUGUGUUU
Non-coding RNA from Phoenix dactylifera (date palm), 4653 nucleotides. Lineage: Eukaryota; Viridiplantae; Streptophyta; Magnoliopsida; Arecales; Arecaceae. The record is from RefSeq and is a predicted model, not a curated record.